GACAUUACAAAGGACCUCUGUGUCAGAAACUAGGAUUAAAGAACAAAUACAGAACAAAUGAUUCCUCCAGCACCCCUACUGCAAGGAUUUUAAGAACUCUAUCUCAGGAUAAAGACCUGAGGGUCACAAGAUGUACAUCGCUGGCCCCAGCUGGAUUUUCCCACGGUUAGGUGCCCAUUCCUACCUAAUCAAAGGUCAUGGGUACUCAUACGUUUUCAAGAGUUUGGAAAAUGAUCUCCCUUGCCAGGUUACCAAUCUUCAAAGGGAGGUCUAUAUUUGGAAGAAAAAGAAAAAAUUUAUGUGCAUUUACCCUGUUUAAUACACUCAUCACACAUAGUAUUUUUACAACAGCAACAAUAACACUCUUAAUUUAGUAUGUAAUUAUAUAUGUCAUAUACUUAAUAUACAAAAUAUUUUCCUUGCUAUCCUAUACGAUUUCAAAUGCCUGGAACAAUAAAUAAUUCAUGUCAUUACUUGAGAGUAUGUAAAUUUUAAUAUGUUAACAUAUACGGGCAAAGUUCUAAAAGCUGCGAUUUUAUGGGAGGCCAAAUUAUGUACAUAUUAGUUUGUCUGAAGACUUGAGCCAAAAGGAAACCAAUACAUUUUGAGCUACAAUAUGGACAUAAUGUCAUGAAGCAGGAAUAUUUUGCUCCAUUUCAGGACACUUCUGCUGACCUGCACCUAGAAUACCCUGUUCUGUACUGAUGACUCAGAUGUAAGAAUGAUGAAGUGCAUCGGUUGGCAUGCAGAGAACAAUGAGAAAAAGAACUGAGUUGUGGGAAGACAUGAGGAAAGGACAUGAGGCUCUUAAUAACAGCUGCCAAGUACUGCAGUCGGGAAUCUGGAGCAAAGUGAUUCAAUUCUGACCACUGCCUGUGAGUAAACGGGAUUUUAUUUUUCAAUACUUUUGUUUAACAGUAUCUCCUUCAUUACAUGUGAACAGCACUCCAGGAUAGUAAAUCAUGAAAUGGGAAUAAAGCCUGUAAUUUUAAUUAACAUAUUUUAAAAUGUUUCUAAUUUGUAUGCAUUUGAUCAAAUUUUCAUUUGCAUUGAGCUAUUUUUUCUUUCUCAUGUAAUGUUUGACAUUACCAUUUCUUUCUUUAAUGAAAUACUAAUAUUUAAUAAAAUAUAUUACAUCC
This is a long non-coding RNA of Pongo pygmaeus (Bornean orangutan), 1139 nucleotides long. RefSeq lists it as uncharacterized. The record is from RefSeq and is a predicted model, not a curated record. The transcript is spliced from 3 exons. Lineage: Eukaryota; Metazoa; Chordata; Mammalia; Primates; Hominidae.